AACACACACCAACGUGUAAUCAUAAAGGUUCCAGUGUAAACGCACCUUCAUCGACAGCUGCUUGGACUACACCAGAUUCAACCUCUUCAGCCUGACGUUUGAGUCAACAAAACAGCAACAUCUCACAUCCCAAGCGUACAAAUGAAUCAGCUGACCCUUUUCUUCCCGCCCAAAGCAAGCAGCGGCGCAACAAGGGCUGGCGGUCAGAGACGGACCCGGAGACCUCCGACGACGGGCAGGCGUCGGGCGCCGGCGACGCCCUGGAGGUCUCGGGGGAGGAGACCCCCGUGCUCACCAGCUCCUCCCAGGAGGAGGAGGAGGCGUGGGGCUGCUCCAGCGGCAUGAGCCUUGAGGUGGAGCCCCUGGACCCCCUCAACUACAACUACUACUUCCGGCGGCUGUCGGACUCGGCGCUGGAGAGCGGCCCCUCCACGCCGGUGCGGGGCCCCCCCCUGCUCGGCAUGGAGCGCAUCUUCAUCGAGAUCGAGGACGUGGAGCGCGACGCCCUGCUGGAGGACGAGGGCUUCCCCGUGGCCCACCUGGCGCCGGCCGGCGAGGGCACGGCGGCGCAGACCUCCUGCGGCCGCCUGGACCCCAUGGAGGACGUGAGGCUGCGGCUGGAGUUCAGCACCCUGGAGGAGGAGGACGAGGAGGAGGCGCAGAAGGAGGAGGAGGAGAUGGCCGCCCUGGCCCGGGGGACCGGGGCGGCGGCGGCGGCGGCGGCGGGGGGGGAGGAGUCGGAGGGCCGGUUGGGCCUGGCCAACCUCAACACCAAUAACAGCAACCGUCUGGCCGGCAAGCGCAGCUGCCCCGCCGCCUUCGACGACAGCCUGGGCUCCCAGAACCCCUUCAAGGUGAAGCCGUCCUACCAGUCGUGCGCCGAGUGCCUGCGCCUCCCCCAGGGCUGGCUGUGCGACCGGCCCGGGGCGGGGCGCACCCACCGCCUCUACACCUCCCGCCACGGCGCCGUGCCCUCCAUCACGCUGGACCCCCCCGGGACCACCACCACCACCACCACCACCACCACCACCCCCACCACCUCUUCCUCCGCCGCCGCGCCCAUCUCCGUCAGCUGCACCCUGCCGUGCGGCCAUCGCUGCAGAUGCGCCACGUGCGUCCAGGGCGUCUGCGUUUCCCCGGCAACGGCAGCAGCAGCAGCAGCAUCGGCGUCUGCCGCAGACGCGUCGUCCCGGCCGGAGGUCCCCGACGGAACACAGGAGAUCCAGUACGAGGGGGAGGAGGGAGGUUCAGGCCGCACGGAGCUGGCUGGCGACCGGCUUGUGUGUGUGGGGUCAGCGGCGCGCUCCGCCCUCCAGGACGGCUCCCUGUCUUGUUCCCUCGUCAAGUAGAGCCCACUGGGUGUGAGCGUGUGGGUGUGCACGUUGCCACCUUGAAGAGACACUUUUUCUCAAAACUUUGAUAGCGGAUGAGAGCGUUUCCUUGGCCGCCCCACGACGACAAAGAGGCUGAACAUUUCUGGCUGUAUACCGGAUACGUAUACGGUGUACAAAACGUUGAAAAAAUAAGUAGUCCAAAUUCUGUGUAGGAGCUCAAGGAGGGGCGUUGAACUGCGAGUCCAUCCCAGCAUCUCCAGUGAUCUGUGAUCAUCUAGUCAUUCCCGGACGCCCUCAUCCUUCUCCAUGAGAUGUCAACCAUUCGACAAAGGUCCUCUUGUGUCUAAGCUUUCUGUGUGGCUCUCAGGCGGCUCCGUCCGUCGAUGCAUCAACUGUGAUCGCGUGGUACGCCAAAAACCCGAUAAACUUGAAAAUAAAUCCAAAUUGGUCUGUAGGCUAUCGAACACACUGUCGUGCGGGCCCCGCCCGGGGGGGAAACAGGGGACGUAAUCCUUCAUGUGAUAUUGUCGACCGAUUUGCAGUGAGCAGUGCAUUGUGGGACAUGUGGGAGUGGUUGACUCGUUCAUCUGAGCGCCCUACACACACUGAGGCGAUGGAAGAGUGGCGAACUCGCCACUCUUAUAUCGGGUAUAUCGGGACUCUUGAAUGCCGCGAGUCGUGUUACCUCUCCUAAGUAGGAUAUACUUAUGGGGGAAAGCUGCUUGAGAAAGUUGGCUUCACUUCACGUUGAAGUGGAUUUUUUUUCCUAAUUGAAAUAUUGACUAUUGUCAUGUCGCCAUAUCCCAGAUGUUAAUUCAGUAGUGAGCACGCCAUGAUGAUCCUCAUCAUAUUUCUUUUGUACACCUUGAUAUUCACUUAUAUCCUUGCAUCAUAUGCAUGCUGUGGUCUUUGGAGAGGAUAUGAAGGUGAUGAAUAAAUACGAUUAUUUAAGUAUUUAACAGGUAUUUCCUAUUUUAUGCUCUUUGUUGAAGGGAAUGUAAAUUUCAACUUAAUCAUUUUCAAAUAUUGUCAAAUUUGAUUUAUCAAUGCUUGCAUAAUGUACUUCAAAUGUACAUUAUUAGACAAGGGGUUUAAAAAUAAUGUCUCUUUUUAAUAUUUCUAGAAACUAUAUACCAUGUUUGUUUUGAGAUAUUGUCAAUCACUUCAUAAUAAAACAUGCAAUAGGCAACUUAUUAACCACAAGCAGGAGUGUUGAAACAUGUGUUUAAACAAGAUGGCUGAAGGAAAUCAAUAUCAAACACAUUUUUUAAAUAAGCAGUUCAAAUCAAAACAGAAGAUGUAACGCCUGAGCUCUCUGGGAUUCAUGAGAUAGGGGUUAUCCAUGCACAGUAAGAAGGUUUACUGAAAGCACAGUUUCUAAGUAUAAGUUCUGCCGUGAUACUUAUCGUUUGCGUUUAAUACCCCCUGCUACUGCUACAAUUUAUUGUUGUGACUUGAAUGAGAUAAGUUGAAUAAGUCACCUAUUUUGGGGCCAGGUUUGAUACUUUUGAGCCUAUCCUCUGAUCAUCCAUGUAAUUAUGCGGAGCUGUAAGCUAUCGGCCUACUCUGCUGCGACUUCAUUUAAUUCAUAUUUAUGAAUGGGUUAUCCAAAACCUUUCUCCUGAGUGAAGGGUUGUUCACGGGUUGCUGCUGUUUCGUGGGUUCCGUAAAUGAGAUGUUUUUUGUGUUGGGUUAGUAUUUAAGUGCCUUAACCUUGACCUUAAUGCUAUUACGUUGCACCACAGGCUUCCUAGAGUGGUUGUGAAUGCUGUGACUGUCCUUCUCUUGCUCUCUCAACCCCUCAAAACCACCCCGCUACGUCCUCACAGUGUUCAUCUCGACUGCUGUAUGCAAACACAACCCUGGAUCAUACAACGUGCGCACAUGUAUUUGGAACACUUGCAAUUUAUGAAUAGCCUCUAUCAGUAUUGUAUCUGUUUGAUAUUGUAAAAAUGUAAAAAUUGUGAGGCAUUGUUCUGGCCCGAACAUUACAUUGGUUUGUAAUUGCAACGAUUAUGUCGAUGGCACAUGGCCUCAGAAGUCAGAAAGAUCGGUUGAAAAGCUAUGGUCUGUAAGCAAGUUUUUAAUUAAUUAAAGAGUAUUAAUUAGAUCUGUGUUCAUGAUGUGGUGCAGAUCUUGAACGGGGAGAUAUGUAUUUUGGGCCUCAUUCAGAAUGUCCCCAAUUAUAUUCCUUCAUAGGCCUUUACUAGGAAGAAAUGCGUUUACUGACAAUCCUAUUAAAAGCCAGAGGUCAAAGGCACUUUGUGGGACAUGUGAGAAGGGAAGAUAUUGACUGUGCGAAAACGGUCUUCUUUCCACAGAUGCUUUGGUUUGAUUUAUUUAGAGUGGAUUGUGUCAGGCGUUGAAGAAAGGGUUUUUAUUCAGUUUGUUUAUAUGUGCACUGUGCUGUCCCUUGUUCAAGUAUGUGUUUUUGUUUCUUUUAAAAUACAGUUAAUGCAAAUGUUAAUAAAAAUGACUGAAGGAGAACAAAUUUAGACAUCAGUAAUUUAAUAAUUUGCACAACAUUGGUUACUAUUUGACCUUUGAACUGGACGAGUGAAGGACAAAGUUUAACAUUUUAAUAAAUUGUACCUUUUGCUAUGAAGUGUCGACAUGAACUGUUUUAAAGUAAAGAAAACAACGCAUGAAAUCUAAAGUAUAUAAGUCCCAUGAAACGGAUAAAGACUCGUUUAAAGGUAUUCAAACACACUCACUCACAAACACACUCUCUCACAGACACAUUCACUCACAAACACAAUUGCUCACAAACACACUCACUCACAAACACAAGUACGGUACUCACAGCAAAAUCACUCACAAAAACACUUACUCACAAACCCAAUAUCUCCCAAACACACUCACUCACUCGGGACCUGACUGUUUCUGAGUGUUGUCUGCUGGAUUACAUGAGGCUUCUUUUAUUGAGUUAGUCAAAUGAAGUGGUGCUGACAUCACGGGGCAGCUUUAAACAUGGCAAAGCAGGGCAGCAGGAGUUGAAGACCAUAGCAGGGCCAGAGGAACAGCACAGCCACACCUUCCACACAGGUAAGCAGUUUUAAAUCAAUACAAACAGCGAUUGAAUGUACCAUUAAUAUGAAUAUAGGAUUCAGAACAUUCUGCCACAUUGGAAGAUGUAAG
This is a long non-coding RNA of Gadus morhua (Atlantic cod), 4472 nucleotides long. The record is from Ensembl. NCBI's taxonomy places the organism in Eukaryota, Metazoa, Chordata, Actinopteri, Gadiformes, Gadidae.